Long non-coding RNA from Daucus carota subsp. sativus, 1092 nucleotides. RefSeq lists it as uncharacterized. Lineage: Eukaryota; Viridiplantae; Streptophyta; Magnoliopsida; Apiales; Apiaceae. The transcript is spliced from 2 exons. The record is from RefSeq and is a predicted model, not a curated record.
AAGCAGAUACUUUGUUUUUUCCUUUUCUCCUCUCUGUCACUACACUCAUCACUGCCUAGUCUUUCUCCUGCUUCAACUAUCUACUCUACUCUUAAACCCUAAUCCCAAUUGAAGGGGAAAAAAACACACCAUGAAUUACCUUCAUUUCUGCAUUUUACUCCUCUCAGCUCUCUCAUUCUCAACCCAAUUACGCAUUACACACUCCUUUGAAUCAGUAACAAUCUAUGAUCUUCUCAAAGCGUACAAUUUACCCAGAGGCUUAUUCCCCAAGGGCGUCAAAGACUUCAGCUUCGAUGAUUCUGGAAGUUUCCAGGUUUAUCUAGACCAGCCCUGUAAUUCUAUGUACGAGAAUGAAUUACACUAUGAUCGAAACAUUUCGGGGGUUUUGUCUCUGGGUCAAAUUGAUCAGCUUUCGGGUAUUUCCGCUAAAGAUUUGUUCUUGUGGUUCCAGGUCAAGGAAAUUCGGGUCGAUAUUCCCAGUUCUGGCUUGAUUUAUUUUGAUGUUGGUGUUGUUUCUAAGCAAUUCUCUUUGUCUUCUUUCGAAACUCCUAAAGAGUGUUUGGCUGUUCAGUUUUCCGAUUCUCGAGUAAUUGUCCAACAACCUCCUGCUGCUAAGAGUUCAAAAGCAAAUUUUGGAUAUCAACUUCGUCACAAAGAUUUGGCAAGGGCCGUUUUCUAAGAUGUCCAGAGUGGCAGUGAAUUAAAUUUUGAAACUGUUCAAUCAAGACCAUGGGUAUUUCAUUCCUUGUACAUGCAUCUUUAAAGAAUUCUGGUAGCAUGUGGUUCUCGUGUCUCAUUAAAGUGUGUUGCUUGCGGAUUUUGGUAUAUAGAAUUAGGAGGCUGCAAGGCAUCAAGCUAGUUCAUGUUCCUUAGCGAUUAGUGCUGAAAUUUGCAGCAGUGUCUUUAGAUAAAAAUGUCUCCUCCAAAGGUUUAGAGGACAUAUAAAUGGCGAGAAGGUUUUCUUUUGAUGUUAAAAUUUGUUAGAAGUAUUUGUAACUAUUUACUGUGAACAAGUCAAGUUUGCUUCUUUCUUUUGGUUGUUGUGUGAAUGAUAGUUUCUUUGGUUUUAAAAAAUAUACAGUAGUCUUUAUA